RNAcentral lists this ribosomal RNA (459 nucleotides) under uncultured bacterium. RNAcentral describes it as "partial 16S ribosomal RNA". It matches the Rfam family "Bacterial small subunit ribosomal RNA", at positions 338 to 795 of the family's 1533-position model. The record is from RNAcentral.
CCUACGGGUGGCAGCAGUGAGGAAUAUUGGUCAAUGGCCGGAAGGCUGAACCAGCCAAGCCGCGUGAAGGACGAAGGUGCCAAGCAUUGUAAACUUCUUUUGUCAAGGGACAAAAUCAGGCUCGAGAGCCUGACCGAGGGUACUUGAUGAAAAAGCAUCGGCUAACUCCGUGCCAGCAGCCGCGGUAAUACGGAGGAUGCGAGCGUUAUCCGGAUUUAUUGGGUUAAAGGGGGGCGUGGGUGGACUGUUAAGUCAGCGGGAAAAGCCGGGGGCUCAACCCCGGCGAGCCGUUGAUACGGGCUGUCUUGAGAUGUCGAGAGGUAGGCGGAAUGCGCAGUGUAGCGGUGAAAUGCUUAGAUAUUGCGCAGAACUCCGAUUGCGAAGGCAGCAUACCGGCGGCGAUCUGACGCUGAGGCACGAAAGCGUGGGUAUCGAACAGGAUUAGAUACCCUUGUAGUC